CGGGUAUUGAAAAAAAGGGAAACAUAUCAAGUUAUGCCUUGAAGAUAUUACGAUUUUGUGCAUUUUUGUUCCUUGUAAUUGUUCUAUCGGUUGGAUUUUGUUUAGAAUUCGAUUUGCUUUCCCCCAUUAAGAAUAAGAACUUUGAAGAGUGAACGUUGCUAUGCAUAAUUGUUCAAGUGUCCUAAUUCUUGGUGGGCCACUUGAUAUGUGUACCUGCUGUAAAUAUGGACCAACAUCAAUAUGUAGGCUUUAGGUGGGCAUGUAGUGAGUUUCGGAAUGCCCAUAAAGGACCUACGAACAUUUUAAUUUUAUGGAUUGUAAAUGUAGUUGGACGUUGAUAGGAUAAUACAGUACAUCAACCCAACAAAAUCUAAGAGAAGUUUGAUGGUUAGCGGUUUCUUUGUUAGGUGGUAGUCCAUGGUCAAAUUCUGUCCUACCUUCUUAUUAUUUUUCUAUAUUGUUCAUUAGAG
This 470-nucleotide unclassified non-coding RNA is filed under the name Hevea brasiliensis (rubber tree). Lineage: Eukaryota; Viridiplantae; Streptophyta; Magnoliopsida; Malpighiales; Euphorbiaceae. The record is from RNAcentral.